CGAUGAACCUCACUUGUGCGGGGAUUAGUGGCGAACGGGUGAGUAACACGUGAGUAACCUGCCCUUAACUCUGGGAUAAGCCUGGGAAACUGGGUCUAAUACCGGAUAUGACUCCUCAUCGCAUGGUGGGGGGUGGAAAGCUUUUUGUGGUUUUGGAUGGACUCGCGGCCUAUCAGCUUGUUGGUGAGGUAAUGGCUUACCAAGGCGACGACGGGUAGCCGGCCUGAGAGGGUGACCGGCCACACUGGGACUGAGACACGGCCCAGACUCCUACGGGAGGCAGCAGUGGGGAAUAUUGCACAAUGGGCGCAAGCCUGAUGCAGCGACGCCGCGUGAGGGAUGACGGCCUUCGGGUUGUAAACCUCUUUCAGUAGGGAAGAAGCGAAAGUGACGGUACCUGCAGAAGAAGCGCCGGCUAACUACGUGCCAGCAGCCGCGGUAAUACGUAGGGCGCAAGCGUUAUCCGGAAUUAUUGGGCGUAAAGAGCUCGUAGGCGGUUUGUCGCGUCUGCCGUGAAAGUCCGGGGCUCAACUCCGGAUCUGCGGUGGGUACGGGCAGACUAGAGUGAUGUAGGGGAGACUGGAAUUCCUGGUGUAGCGGUGAAAUGCGCAGAUAUCAGGAGGAACACCGAUGGCGAAGGCAGGUCUCUGGGCAUUAACUGACGCUGAGGAGCGAAAGCAUGGGGAGCGAACAGGAUUAGAUACCCUGGUAGUCCAUGCCGUAAACGUUGGGCACUAGGUGU
RNAcentral lists this ribosomal RNA (742 nucleotides) under Arthrobacter sp. MJ308. RNAcentral's name for it is "bacterial SSU rRNA". It matches the Rfam family "Bacterial small subunit ribosomal RNA", at positions 67 to 823 of the family's 1533-position model. The record is from RNAcentral. Lineage: Bacteria; Bacillati; Actinomycetota; Actinomycetes; Micrococcales; Micrococcaceae.